CAUCUCACUCACUUUCUCUUUCUGUCUAUAUAUAGAGAAAGACACAAUUUUCAAGACUGUAAAGCGUUGAAAUCUCUUACAAAUCCUACCCCAACAUCUAUCUCCUCAUUUUCAAUCACAAAAAAAGAAAAAGAAAAGAAAAGAAAAACCAUCCAUUUAAUUUAACUUACCAAAAGAAAAACAAUAUUUUAAAAAAAUGGCGUUGAAAUCUGGAGCCAGUAUCGUCCUCUCCGUUUGUCACUCUGAUGAACAGUUGAGAGAGAGAGAGAUAGAGGAUGAUGGUGUGUGUGGUGGAGCCUUUAGAUGGUCGAGCUGUGAUAACAUGGCAGCACUUCUUACGGGCA
RNAcentral lists this long non-coding RNA (344 nucleotides) under Ricinus communis (castor bean). RNAcentral's name for it is "long non-coding RNA (RCOM_LNC002500)". Lineage: Eukaryota; Viridiplantae; Streptophyta; Magnoliopsida; Malpighiales; Euphorbiaceae. The record is from RNAcentral.